UACGAAGGGGGCUAGCGUUGUUCGGAAUUACUGGGCGUAAAGCGCACGUAGGCGGAUACUUAAGUCAGGGGUGAAAUCCCGGGGCUCAACCCCGGAACUGCCUUUGAUACUGGGUAUCUCGAGUCCGGAAGAGGUGAGUGGAAUUCCGAGUGUAGAGGUGAAAUUCGUAGAUAUUCGCAAGAACACCAGUGGCGAAGGCGGCUCACUGGCCCGGAACUGACGCUGAGGUGCGAAAGCGUGGGGAGCAAACAGG
RNAcentral lists this ribosomal RNA (253 nucleotides) under uncultured bacterium. RNAcentral describes it as "partial 16S ribosomal RNA". It matches the Rfam family "Bacterial small subunit ribosomal RNA", at positions 524 to 776 of the family's 1533-position model. The record is from RNAcentral.